GACAGAGGGGGCAAGCGUUACUCGGAAUCACUGGGCGUAAAGGGCGCGUAGGCGGGAUGGCAAGUCAGUCGUGAAAUCUCUCGGCUCAACCGAGAAACGUCGGCUGAUACUGCCGUUCUUGAGGGAUGCAGAGGAGACUGGAAUUCCCGGUGUAGCGGUGGAAUGUGUAGAGAUCGGGAGGAACACCGGUGGCGAAGGCGGGUCUCUGGGCAUUUCCUGACGCUGAGGCGCGAAAGCGUGGGGAGCGAACAGG
RNAcentral lists this ribosomal RNA (253 nucleotides) under uncultured bacterium. Its description in RNAcentral is "partial 16S ribosomal RNA". It matches the Rfam family "Bacterial small subunit ribosomal RNA", at positions 524 to 776 of the family's 1533-position model. The record is from RNAcentral.